CCGGUGUUAAGCCGGAGGAAGGUGGGGAUGACGUCAAGUCCUCAUGGCCUUUAUGCCCAGGGCUACACACGUGCUACAAUGGGCGGUACAAAGAGAAGCAACCUCGCGAGGGUGAGCAAAUCUCAAAAAGCCGUUCUCAGUUCGGAUUGAAGUCUGCAACUCGACUUCAUGAAGUCGGAAUCGCUAGUAAUCGCGGAUCAGCAUGCCGCGGUGAAUACGUUCCCGGGCCUU
RNAcentral lists this ribosomal RNA (231 nucleotides) under uncultured Syntrophaceae bacterium. RNAcentral describes it as "partial 16S ribosomal RNA". It matches the Rfam family "Bacterial small subunit ribosomal RNA", at positions 1152 to 1382 of the family's 1533-position model. The record is from RNAcentral. Lineage: Bacteria; Pseudomonadati; Thermodesulfobacteriota; Syntrophia; Syntrophales; Syntrophaceae.